UUCUUCUUUUCCUGCUCUCAGCUCCCGAGGGCGCUGUGGCCAUCUGCUGGGGCGGGAAGGGCAGGUGCCCAGGGAGGCAGAGUCCGGAGCCAGCCAAGAGGAUUUAGUCUUCUGCCCCUGAGCUCCUGGACCGGGGACAGCUAGAGGGAGAGUCCACAUGGCCCUGCAGAAUGUGAUGGGGCGGCUGGGCAGGCACUCCUGGAACUGCCUGGAACUGCGGGGGGUGUGAAGAAGGAGGGGGUGGUCGCGGUGGCUGCCAAGGUGGCGAGAGGAGGACGGCUGUCCUGUGUUGCACAGGACAUGGAAGGUGAUUAAGAACUGUUCUUAUUGGUAACGGACAAGAAAAGUUCUGAAUUAUUGGAUUAUGCACGUGGAGGGGUCGCUCUACUCUCUCAGCCCUCCACGCCUGCGCCGGGGACCCGCCCAGCAGUGAGCCGCGGAGAACGUGGGCCAAGCCCUCGCAGAUGCAAGCAAUGUGGGCACAGCGGGAACAAGCUAUCAUGCAAAGAAAUGCAGAUGCUCGCAGCUGGAGUCAAAUCUGCUGUGCAGGACUGGGCCAGGGCAAAGGAGGUGAGCUGGGACACCAGCAGCACCUGCUACCUGGGGGAAGCCUAGAUUCCUGCCCUCAUGGAGCUUAUAGUCUAGUGAGAGAGAUAGAAAGGAAGAUCUGCAGUACCUAGCCAGAUAGGCAGGUGACCUAGCCUGAAGGCAGGUGACGGGGCAUCAGGGGUGCUGUGGUAGCUCAGGGAGUCCUCUCUUGGAGGAGAUGACAUUUCAGCUGACACCCGAAGGAAGUGUGAGACAGGCCAUCUGAAGGCUGGUUGAACGUGGAAUGGGAAAUAACCCUGGAAUCAGGGCUGUGGAAAGAGCAAGUGCUAAGACCCAGAAUGGGAAUAGCCUUGGCAGUAAGCAGGGGGAAUUGCAAGAAGUCCAGGGUAGCUUUGGAAGAGAGGAUGAGGCAGAGUAGGACAGAAUAGAGAUAAAGGCAGAAGUUGCGAACACCUUGUUGCUGGGCAUCUGGACCCAGCCCUGAGACAUCCAUUCAUUCCAUUUACUAGUUUGGGCACCAGUCUGGGUGCUGGACGUGCUCCGGUGAAUGCGUGUGACGGAGCCCUGCCCUCACAGAGCAUCCAUUCUGAUAGGGGGAUGAGUAAACAGCGUAAGUAUGUACUAGAGGCUAUUAAUAUGUAACUUGUAUUAGAAAAUGACUGAUGCUUCAGACUUGAGAAAAAUGAAGUAGACACAGGGAGUCCACGAGUGCGAGGAAGUGCUUAGAAAUUCCAAGUAGAGAGGUGAGGAUGGCUUCUAGAAGGGGCUGACAACACUCAGUACCUCUGAGCCUGGUGGGCUCCUGAAGACCCCUCCACACCCCCAGGACAUGUAUCCAAUGCAGCCCGGGAGGGAGGGCACGACUGGAUCUCCAGGAGAGAGAAAGAAGAGCAGGGACCCCAGAGUGGAGGGCUGGGGUGUGUUGGUCCAAGCUCAUAGCCUGGGAAAAAGAGGAGGAGCCAGGGUGGGGGCAGGGGAGGGAGGGGGGCUGGGUCUGC
Mustela erminea (ermine) is the source of this 1547-nucleotide long non-coding RNA. RefSeq lists it as uncharacterized. The record is from RefSeq and is a predicted model, not a curated record. The transcript is spliced from 3 exons. NCBI's taxonomy places the organism in Eukaryota, Metazoa, Chordata, Mammalia, Carnivora, Mustelidae.